CGGGUGUCCCGUUCCUGGAGUACCAUCCUGUAGGUUUUAACCCCAACCCUGUUCCUGGAGUACCAUCCUGUAGGUUUUAACCCCAACCCUGUUCCUGGAGUACCAUCCUGUAGGUUUUAACUCCAACCCUGUUCCUGGAGUACCAUCCUGUAGGUUUUAACUCCAACCCUGUUCCUGGAGUACCAUCCUGUAGGUUUUAACCCCAACCCUGUUCCUGGAGUACCAUCCUGUAGGUUUUAACUCCAACCCUGUUCCUGGAGUACCAUCCUGUAGGUUUUAACUCCAACCCUGUUCCUGGAGUACCAUCCUGUAGGUUUUAACCCCAACCCUGUUCCUGGAGUACCAUCCUGUAGGUUUUAACUCCAACCCUGUUCCUGGAGUACCAUCCUGUAGGUUUUAACUCCAACCCUGUUCCUGGAGUACCAUCCUGUAGGUUUUAACCCCAACCCUGUUCCUGGAGUACCAUCCUGUAGGUUUUAACUCCAACCCUGUUCCUGGAGUACCAUCCUGUAGGUUUUAACUCCAACCCUGUUCCUGGAGUACCAUCCUGUAGGUUUUAACUCCAACCCUGUUCCUGGAGUACCAUCCUGUAGGUUUUAACUCCAACCCUGUUCCUGGAGUACCAUCCUGUAGGUUUUAACUCCAACCCUGUUCUUGGAGAUACCCUCCUGUAGGUUUUAACUCCAACCCUGGUCCUAGAGAGAUACCCUCCUGUAGG
Long non-coding RNA from Oncorhynchus keta (chum salmon), 718 nucleotides. RefSeq lists it as uncharacterized. The record is from RefSeq and is a predicted model, not a curated record. NCBI's taxonomy places the organism in Eukaryota, Metazoa, Chordata, Actinopteri, Salmoniformes, Salmonidae. The transcript has 3 exons.